AGAGUUUGAUCCUGGCUCAGGAUGAACGCUGGCGGAAUGCUUAACACAUGCAAGUCGAACGGUCUCUUCGGAGAUAGUGGCGGACGGGUGAGUAACGCGUGAGAACAUGCCUUUAGAUUGGGGACAACAGUUGGAAACGACUGCUAAUACCGAAUGUGCCUUAGGGUGAAAGAUUUAUUGUCUAGAGAUUGGCUCGCGUCAGAUUAGCUAGUUGGAGUGGUAACGGCACACCAAGGCGACGAUCUGUACUUGGUCUGAGAGGAUGACCAGGCACACUGGAACUGAGACACGGUCCAGACUCCUACGGGAGGCAGCAGUGGGGAAUUUUCCGCAAUGGGCGAAAGCCUGACGGAGCAAUACCGCGUGAGGGAGGACGGCUUUUGGGUUGUAAACCUCUUUUAUCAGGGAAGAAUCGAUGACGGUACCUGAUGAAUCAGCAUCGGCUAACUCCGUGCCAGCAGCCGCGGUAAUACGGAGGAUGCAAGCGUUAUCCGGAAUUAUUGGGCGUAAAGCGUCCGUAGGUGGUUUAUCAAGUCUGCUGUCAAAGCGUGCGGCUUAACCGCAUAAGGGCAGUGGAAACUGAUGAACUAGAGUGCGAUAGGGGUAACAGGAAUUCCCAGUGUAGCGGUGAAAUGCGUAGAUAUUGGGAAGAACACCAGCGGCGAAAGCGUGUUACUGGGUCCGCACUGACACUGAGGGACGAAAGCUAGGGGAGCGAAAGGGAUUAGAUACCCCUGUAGUCCUAGCCGUAAACGAUGACACUAGCGUGGUCGUAUCGACCCGAGCCGUGCCGUAGCCAACGCGUUAGUUGUUCCGCCUUGGGGGGAGUUACGCACAGCCAAGGGUGAAACUCAAAGGAAUUGACGG
RNAcentral lists this ribosomal RNA (867 nucleotides) under uncultured bacterium. RNAcentral's name for it is "bacterial SSU rRNA". It matches the Rfam family "Bacterial small subunit ribosomal RNA", at positions 8 to 916 of the family's 1533-position model. The record is from RNAcentral.